CUGUGCUGGCAGCUGUGUUUCUGUGU
RNAcentral lists this non-coding RNA (26 nucleotides) under Mus musculus (house mouse). The record is from RNAcentral. Lineage: Eukaryota; Metazoa; Chordata; Mammalia; Rodentia; Muridae.